RNAcentral lists this ribosomal RNA (277 nucleotides) under uncultured Eubacteriales bacterium. Its description in RNAcentral is "uncultured Clostridiales bacterium partial 16S ribosomal RNA". It matches the Rfam family "Bacterial small subunit ribosomal RNA", at positions 68 to 339 of the family's 1533-position model. Lineage: Bacteria; Bacillati; Bacillota; Clostridia; Eubacteriales. The record is from RNAcentral.
UUGAUUUCUUCGGAAUGAAGUUUUUGUGACUGAGUGGCGGACGGGUGAGUAACGCGUGGGUAACCUGCCUCAUACAGGGGGAUAACAGUUGGAAACGACUGCUAAUACCGCAUAAGCGCACGGGAUUGCAUGAUCCAGUGUGAAAAACUCCGGUGGUAUGAGAUGGACCCGCGUCUGAUUAGCUGGUUGGUGAGGUAACGGCCCACCAAGGCGACGAUCAGUAGCCGGCCUGAGAGGGUGAACGGCCACAUUGGGACUGAGACACGGCCCAAACUCC